This 164-nucleotide ribosomal RNA is filed under the name uncultured bacterium. RNAcentral's name for it is "partial 16S rRNA". It matches the Rfam family "Bacterial small subunit ribosomal RNA", at positions 355 to 511 of the family's 1533-position model. The record is from RNAcentral.
UAGGGAAUCUUCCACAAUGGGCGUAAGCCUGAUGGAGCAACGCCGCGUGUGUGAUGAAGGGUUUCGGCUCGUAAAACACUGUUGUAAGAGAAGAAUGACAUUGAGAGUAACUGUUCAAUGUGUGACGGUAUCUUACCAGAAAGGAACGGCUAAAUACGUGUCAG